Molecule: ribosomal RNA, 894 nt
Filed under: uncultured bacterium
Lineage: Bacteria
Description: bacterial SSU rRNA
Rfam family: Bacterial small subunit ribosomal RNA
Source: RNAcentral
GGCUCAGAACGAACGCGGGCGGCGUGGAUAAGACAUGCAAGUCGAGCGAUUACUACGGGGUAGCAAUAUUCUGUGGUGAGAGCGGCGCAAGGGUGCGUAACACGUGGGUAAUCUGCCAUGAAGUUUGGGAUAACCCCGAGAAAUCGGGGCUAAUACUGGAUGUGACCAUUUGGAGGCCUCUCUGGAUGGUUAAAGUUGGGGACCGUAAGGCCUGACGCUUCAUGAUGAGCCCGCGGCCUAUCAGCUAGUUGGUGAGGUAACGGCUCACCAAGGCUAAGACGGGUAGCUGGUCUGAGAGGACGACCAGCCACACUGGAACUGAGAGACGGUCCAGACACCUACGGGUGGCAGCAGUCGAGAAUUUUUCACAAUGGGCGCAAGCCUGAUGGAGCGACGCCGCGUGGGGGAUGAAUGGCUUCGGCCCGUAAACCCCUGUCAUUUGCGAGCAAAGCGCAUUAUUUAAAAGAUGAUGUGUUGAUAGUAGCGAAAGAGGAAGGGACGGCUAACUCUGUGCCAGCAGCCGCGGUAAUACAGAGGUCCCGAGCGUUGUUCGGAUUCACUGGGCGUAAAGGGUGCGUAGGUGGUGAGGCAAGUCGGAUGUGAAAUUCUGGAGCUUAACUCCGGAACGGCAUUGGAAACUGCCUUGCUGGAGGGUUGGAGGGGGGACUGGAAUUCUCGGUGUAGCAGUGAAAUGCGUAGAUAUCGAGAGGAACACCGGUGGCGAAGGCGAGUCCCUGGACAACACCUGACACUGAGGCACGAAAGCUAGGGGAGCAAACAGGAUUAGAUACCCUGGUAGUCCUAGCCGUAAACGGUGCACGUUUGCUGUAAGAGGAAUCGACCCCUUUUGUGGCGAAGCCAACGCGAUAAACGUGCCGCCUGGGAAGUACGGUC